AUGGUUUGUGUGAUGGACUGUUUUAUUUUUUCCUUUCUAUGUUCACUUCAGGACCAUGUGUUGGCACAUCAAAGCAGUAGAGACCCUGACCUGGUGAUGGACUCCAACAUCAACCAUCUCAUCACCUCAAAAUGCUUUCAAAUCAUUUUGUUUAAACGUCACUGCCCUUCUGAGGGGACAGAUUACACAGCUAACUGCAUAAGUGAGUGUCAUUUCCUGUCACUUAACUCUGUCUGUGAGGGGUAUAUGCUAUAUAUUUCCAGUGUCAUUGUAAACAUCUUGUUCUACCUUUACCUUGUGUCAGAUUGUCUUCCAGUUGUAUCUUUAAAAGCAUUUUUAAAUGUGAUUCCAGUCAUCCAAUGUUCUGAUGUACACAUUUCUUCUUUUCACAGCCAACUGCACUCUAACUUCUCUCGGAACAUCUCAGGAAACAAAAGGUACGGAUGAACUAAAAAACAUAAAUUAUGUUAGGUAAUCGUUGUAUUAAAUAUGGGUUACAUACUAGAGCAGCAGUGUUUCCGUUCAUUUUCUCACUCUUUGGGUUUUGCCGUCAAUGCGUGAGAUAUUGUUGGUGUAAGGUUACAUCAUGUGUGUACUUCCUGUUUGAAAUCUCAAAGCAGUUUCCAUUCAUAACCGCAAGUCUUUGUCAUUUAACAAGCUACAUUGGCUUUCUCCUAAAGCAGACAAUGCCUCCAGGCCUCAGGCAGCGUUGUUUGUCUUCCCUCUGUAAAGGCAAGCAGGGGGAUCAAACUUGUGCCACUAUUUUCCAAUAAAUUGCAUCAUACAAUCUGUGGAAUUAUUAUGUAAUAUACAGUAACUUUGUAUUUACAAAAUGUAUUGCCUUAAUGAUUAGUUCUUUAUAGAGGAGUGUAGGAGGGCUACAUGGCUCCCCACUGUGUAGAGUUCCAUUCAAAGUAUGCAUGAAUAAUAGUAAGCUUAAAGAAAAUGCAUAGUUUUUGUGAUAAUUACGGUAUUUGAAAGAAUAAUUUGACUUUUUAGGUCAAAUAAAAUGCUGUCUGUUGGUAUAUUAACUGAAAAACUCUCUUCUCCUGACAGAGAGUCCUACUGUUGGUAUUACUGUUGCUGUCCUGUUGCUGGUCGGGCUCUUCUUCGUCCUCCUUAGUGCCUUGUGCUACAAAUGCAGAAAGAGAAUUCCAGGUAUUUUUAAAUCACAUCACUAUAUAAAAUGUCAUGAAUUUCCCUCAUCUGGCAAGUUUUCCAAUAAUACUCUAUUUUUAUUGAUAGGAUAUGCAGCUUGUAUCUCACGACGCCUCUACACUUCGCCUGUGAAGUUGUAGAACGUUGCCUUCACAGCAGUUUAGGAUGGUAGCUCAAGACUGAAAUCUAAAGUAGUUCAGUAUACUGUGGCACGCCAUGUAUAGGCAUUAUGACCUAUUCAUGCUGAAAACUAUAGUCAUGCUUUUUAAUCAUUCCUACAUUAUCUCUGCUGCACUACUCUUUACAUUUGGCCAAAAUCAGUGUGUUGUGCCUUUCUUUAGGGAACCAUCUUUUCCCUGUUUAAAAAAAAUGACACACCCUUUUUUAAAUCCGUAUUUCAGCUACCUAAAUUGUGUUAUCUAUUCAUGUCACAGUUUAAACUGUGUUGCUGUAACAAUGUAUGGGAUUAGUAGCCCAAUCAUGUAUUAGCAUCGCUGAUCAGUUCUUAAUUUGGUUCUAAAAACCCACAUCCACUACCAUCAUGUUAACAAGCCAUUGCUGCAAGAAAAGGUUCCAGGGAAACACUUUAUCAUAUAUGGUUUUGCUUUUAUAUAUUAUCUAAGGCUGUACACUUUACAAAUGAAUGUAAUCAGUUAAGGACAAUGUGUACACACAUGUGAUUUGGGAUACAUGUGGUUAUCACUCAAGCAAAGACCGUCAGUGUGACAGAUGUUGAGUUACAGUGACACUGUAAGCUUCAUUCACUGUGUCAUUGUUACAUUUGAGACAUAAUCCACCACAGUUGUCUUUAGAUGUAUAUCUGACUGGAUAUGGAACACUUAAUAAUAGUACUUAAUAUUCCCUUGAUAAUAGUUGCACAGCCAUUAGUUGGCUAUGAUGUUUUGGUGCACAGAUACAUAGUUAUUGAGGCUGUGGAAGCAGACAGACAGCUAGUAUACUUUUAGGACCAACGCCCAGUAGCAAUGCAGUAACCUCCCCAGGUCCAGGACCUCAUAUUGGUGUUAACGGGAACCAAAGCUGUGGAAGUUCGGAGACUCGUAAUGCAGCACCAGGGCGUGCCCAUUCAGUGUCCUGUAGCAGUACAACUCUUAAUAUUCAUCUGAAGCCUUAAGUCAUUCCCUGCACAGAGAAAUAUACAUGUUUUUAUUUUUAUAUUUCUCAUAUAUAUUAAUAGAUAUAUUUGUACUGAUGGAUAAUACAAUAAAUAUAUAAUAUAGUAAGUAAAUAAUGUUAGCAUAUUUAUAUCUGAAUAUAUAUAUAUAUUAUAUUUUAUACACUAUACUAUAAUUAUAAAUACACUGAAAGGGUUUGGAUGUAAUAAUGUGUGCAAUGUAAUUCUAUCCAAUACAAUUGUUUGUGACGUAAUGAAGAUAUAGUCGUAUUGGAGGUUGUAAGGAGGUUGUAAGUCAUUGUAUGUCUUUUAUUCUUCAAUUAUACGCCAUGAGUCUCCCUGUAAACUUCUUCUCUUCAAUAAAAAGAUACAUUUUCAAAACAAGAGUUUUUAUUUUUAUUGUCUACUGUAAUG
Cottoperca gobio is the source of this 2704-nucleotide long non-coding RNA. Ensembl lists it as uncharacterized. NCBI's taxonomy places the organism in Eukaryota, Metazoa, Chordata, Actinopteri, Perciformes, Bovichtidae. The record is from Ensembl.